CCUACGGGUGGCAGCAGUGGGGAAUAUUGCACAAUGGGGGAAACCCUGAUGCAGCGACGCCGCGUGGGUGACGAAGUAUUUCGGUAUGUAAAGCCCUAUCAGCAGGGAAGAAAAUGACAGUACCUGACUAAGAAGCCCCGGCUAACUACGUGCCAGCAGCCGCGGUAAUACGUAGGGGGCAAGCGUUAUCCGGAUUUACUGGGGGUAAAGGGAGCGUAGGUGGGGUGGCAAGACAGAAGUGGAAACUCGGGGCUUAACCCCGCGGAUUGCUUUUGAAACUGGCAGGCUGGAGUGCAGGAGGGGUAGGCGGAAUGCCUGGUGUAGCGGUGAAAUGCGUAGAUAUCAGGAGGAACACCGGUGGCGAAGGCGGCUUGCUGGACUGUAACUGACGCUGAGGCUCGAAAGCGUGGGGAGCAAACAGGAUUAGAUACCCGAGUAGUC
Molecule: ribosomal RNA, 441 nt
Filed under: uncultured bacterium
Lineage: Bacteria
Description: partial 16S ribosomal RNA
Rfam family: Bacterial small subunit ribosomal RNA
Source: RNAcentral